AUUUUGAUGAGACUGCUGGAAUUGAUAAUCAAAUACCAUCAAUUAAUUGUUUAAUUAAUAAAUUGAUUAUUGGAAUUAACAUUGAGCUGGAAUGGAACAGGAAUCUGUAUAGCUUAGGUAAUACAAGUGAGAUGUUUUCAAUUGAAGUGUGCAGAAAUACUUAGCAGCCAGAGAUACUUCCUGUAUGUUUUUUAGGGAAUGAUAGACCACAGCCCAAGUUGAUGGAAUUACAUCCUCUCUCUUGCAUGGUGGGGCCCACCCAUGUGAGGAGGAAAUCUGUGGAACUUUUAACUUGGUCUGUGGAUUCAGUGCCCUUUUUUAUCCCCCCACAAAAGCAACUCCUCUCGCAACAUAAAAUAGUUCCUUCCAAUCAAAUUAAGUUCCAGAUAACUAAUAGUACCAAAAAACAUAGAAACUGCUAGUCCUUGAAAUCUUAUCAGUUGAACUCUACAUAAAGUUCCAAGACCAUUAAAAGGAAAAGAGAAGGAAAACACUUGACGACUUCCCAGUUGACUGCAAUUUGUGGGUUUUAUUGAUUCGUUAUUUGUCUAGAUGUAGAUUUCAGUGGUACUGGUUUGUGGUUACAUUUGUGAGCAUCAUCUUAACGCUUUUUCUCUAAUAAUAGGUUACUUUUUAUUUAUCAAAAAAUAAAAAAAUAAAAAAAUUCCCAGUUUGACUGCAGGAUGAGAAUUUUUAUUUACAUCCCCAUGGUUUGAGCGUAUAUUAUAUCACCAGCCCUGUGUUUCUUUUGACUUUCUCUGAGGAUAAAUGUGCAAGGAUAUUCAAGUAUAUAGUCCUGAGGUUUUAAAAAAUGCUAUAGCAUGAAUUACUGUAUCAUGAGAAAGUAAAGAGCUUCAUCAAGCAUGUACUUGGCAAAUUUGAAUUUAUUUGCGUGUUGUUUCACGAUGAGGAGGGGUGAGUGUCAGUGCGUGCUUGUGUGUGUGUGUAUGUGUGAGAGAGAGAGAGGUGGUAACAUUUGGUCCCUGAUAGUAGUGAAAUGAAAAUCAAUUAUGUCCUAUCCAUUUGGAUAGAGUGAAAAUACCAUUCUUUUGGUUUUUGUUCCCGUCCUCAUUUCCCCUUUCAUUAAAUCAAAUGUCUCCCUAUGUGAACAUAAGAUGUUAAGAGGUUAUGUCAAUCCAUUGAUGGAGGCGAGGCCCCAAAACUUUGUCACAUCAGAAUUUCAUAUUUUCUGAACAAAAGUUAUUAUGAGCCGUGAUAUUUUUAACCAGGACCUAUUUACUUGGUCAACGUUGGUCAUCUUCGGCCUUUUUUGUUGGACUUAAAUUCCAACGUUUCUGACGGACAGUGAUGAGGUUUUAACAUAGUUUAUCAUCUUUUCCAGUUUAUCUAGCAUUGUUUAAUCAUGGACUUGAGAAUCGUGAUGAACUGAUGCAUGGUUUUUGUCUUGACAAGUUUGAUUUCAUUUCCGUGAUUGUGGCAGUUAUAACCUAUCUGCACUAUUAUUUGCUUCUGAAGAAUCGGUUCUUGAUUUUUCAGGUCCCACUCAACAAUAUGUUUGGGUACUCGACAGCUCUUCGUUCGAUGACACAGGGUAAAGGCGAGUUCACGAUGGAAUACAAAGAGCAUGCGCCGGUUUCUCAGGAGGUGCAGAUGCAACUAGUGAACACAUACAAGGCAGCCAAGGCAGCUGAAUAGCUGUGGUUUUGUUUGAAGGCCACACUUGCAAGGUAAUCUAGGUCAUGCCUUAUACACUUUGAUAGAGAGUCGCAUGUAUUUUUUAUUUUUAUUAUUAUUUUUAUUUAUGGUUCUAGAUAUCCUGGUAUUUGUGAGGCCAAAAUUUUGGUCAAUAAUUUUGAGGAGCCCAAAUAAUGUAGUUCAACAUUUAUUUGGUUAUAGUGUGAGGCAACUGUACUUUCUGAUGUAUCACAUAUUCAAAGUAUUCAUAAUUUUUGUUGUUGCACAUAAUACAUAUGGCUAUAAAUUUUCGGGUAAAAGUUUUCUUUUACUCCCUUGUGAUUUU
Molecule: non-coding RNA, 1981 nt
Organism: Camellia sinensis
Lineage: Eukaryota; Viridiplantae; Streptophyta; Magnoliopsida; Ericales; Theaceae
Source: RefSeq, a predicted model, not a curated record